Molecule: transfer RNA, 75 nt
Filed under: Karenia mikimotoi
Lineage: Eukaryota; Dinophyceae; Gymnodiniales; Kareniaceae
Description: tRNA-Phe
Rfam family: tRNA
About the family: Transfer RNA (tRNA) molecules are approximately 80 nucleotides in length. Their secondary structure includes four short double-helical elements and three loops (D, anti-codon, and T loops).
Source: RNAcentral
GGGGAUAUGGUGGAAUGGUAGACACGACAGACUAAAAUUGUGAUAUACAUGAGGGUUCAGGUCCCUCUUUCCCCC